Molecule: ribosomal RNA, 253 nt
Filed under: uncultured bacterium
Lineage: Bacteria
Description: partial 16S ribosomal RNA
Rfam family: Bacterial small subunit ribosomal RNA
Source: RNAcentral
UACGGAGGGUGCAAGCAUUGAUCGGAAUUACUGGGCGUAAAGGGCGCGUAGGCGGCCAGAAAAGUCGGAUGUGAAAUUCCGGGGCUCAACCCCGGAGCUGCAUUCGAAACUUUUUGGCUAGAGUACAGUUAGGGAAAACGGAAUUCCACGUGUAGCGGUGAAAUGCGUAGAUAUGUGGAAGAACACCGGUGGUGAAGACGGUUUUCUGGGCUGUAACUGACGCUGAGGCGCGAAAGCUAGGGGAGCAAACAGG